Molecule: ribosomal RNA, 446 nt
Filed under: uncultured bacterium
Lineage: Bacteria
Description: bacterial SSU rRNA
Rfam family: Bacterial small subunit ribosomal RNA
Source: RNAcentral
GGUAUGGGAUGAGCUUGCGUCCGAUUAGCUAGUUGGCGGGGCAACGGCCCACCAAGGCGACGAUCGGUAGCCGGCCCGAGAGGGUGAUCGGCCACAUUGGGACUGAGAUACGGCCCAGACUCCUACGGGAGGCAGUAGUAGGGAAUAUUGCACAAUGGGGGAAACCCUGAUGCAGCAACGCCACGUGUGGGAAGAAGCAUUUCGGUGUGUAAACCACUGUCGUGAGGGAAUAAUACGCGUCUUCGGGCGCGGGAGAAUGUACCUUGAAAGGAAGCACCGGCAAACUUCGUGCCAGCAGCCGCGGUAAUACGAGGGGUGCAAGCGUUGUUCGGAAUCACUGGGCGUAAAGGGAGCGUAGGCGGAUGUUCAAGCGGAUUGUACAAUACCGGGGCCCAACCCCGGACCUGCAGUUCGAACUGGACAUCUUGGAUAGUUCAGGGGCAGGC